Long non-coding RNA from Raphanus sativus (radish), 922 nucleotides. RefSeq lists it as uncharacterized. The transcript is spliced from 6 exons. Lineage: Eukaryota; Viridiplantae; Streptophyta; Magnoliopsida; Brassicales; Brassicaceae. The record is from RefSeq and is a predicted model, not a curated record.
UAUAUGAAGAUUUUGGGUCUGGCUUUAGUUUCCGAGAUUUGGUUGGCUUCCGGUUCGAUUUCCCGAUUUGCAAUCUUAUGGAGCCUUGCGUGCAACGGCACCGUUAGGCAAACCCUACAUAAAACUCUUCCACGAGACGUCUACUUGGGCGGCUGCUAACAGAAAAGACAAAUCAAUAUCCUCUCAAUGAAUUUCCGGGCUGACGAACAAGAGGACUCGAUGUCUAUUGCAAAACCAGUAACUCGUACACUGGAGACUACUCUGAAGAAGAACAAGAAUAAGAUGACAGUCUCUCUCUUAAGUAAGAACGUGUUGCAACUGUGUUCCAGUAGCAAAACAAAUCUGAAGAGGCAGAAGAUACGCAAGGAGAGUAAAGCAAAUUUGAAAAAGCAGAAGAAAACUGAGAGAGAGAAGAAAAAGAAGGAAGAUUCUUGCUGUUUUGGAUGUGAAGAAGCCUUCGGAAAUAAUGAUGAAACCAUUUUCGUUAAGGGAUUUCAACAUUUGCGCCCCAUGAAUUGAGCAGCAUUUUUGGUUCUUGUGGAAAGAUAAUAAGCGUUUUUGUUCCCAUGCAAUGUGGUACCUGUGUUCCCUUAGGAUUUGCUUUCAUUAAUAUCUUAAAUGGCGAAGAGAAGGCGUUGAAACUAAAUGGAAUUAAGUUACAUGGGAGGAAGAAAGCUUAAGGUGAAGAUGGCUAUUGAUAGUGAUGAAUACUUCGGGUAUGAUGACUUUGAUGGGUGUGACCUUUGUCGAGGGCCAGGCAAGCUCAGAUCUCGCAGGCCGAUUGCCAUUGACGAAGCUUCUUUUCAACUGUACUACUGAACCCAAGCUUAUUUUUAUUAUCUAAUUAUUUUGUCUUGUAUGAUUUUGAUAUGCUAUGCUUAAAACAAAUUAUGUAAGAACUCGCUACUAUGUAGACGGUGGU